GGGGCUCGGAGCGAGCCAGGGACGACGGAAGGGACGGGCAGGUGUGGGCGCGGGGCCGCUCAGCCCGACGGCGGGAGUCGCAGCCACUCGGUGCAUGGGCCAGUGAGGACGCGCGGAGAUCCCCGCGCCGCGGCGAAGGCGGAGCAGCGCGGGAGCAAGGCGCUGCCCGGCGACCCUGCGUCCGAGCGAGCGGAACCUUGCGCUUCGCCCGGGGACGGUCCGAAGUCCGCGCUAUGGAAGAGGAGAAAUAUUUGCCUGAGCUGAUGGCAGAGAAAGAUAGCCUGGAUCCAUCUUUUGUGCAUGCAUCGCGCCUUUUGGCGGAAGAAAUUGAAAAAUUUCAAGGUUCUGAUGGAAAAAAAGAAGAUGAAGAAAAGAAAUAUCUUGAUGUCAUCAGCAACAAAAACAUAAAGCUCUCAGAAAGGGUAUUGAUUCCUGUCAAGCAAUAUCCAAAGUUCAAUUUUGUGGGGAAAUUGCUUGGACCAAGAGGAAACUCCUUGAAGAGACUACAGGAAGAAACAGGUGCUAAAAUGUCUAUCCUGGGCAAAGGAUCAAUGAGAGAUAAAGCAAAGGAAGAAGAAUUAAGGAAGAGUGGGGAAGCCAAGUAUGCCCACUUGAGUGAUGAACUUCACGUAUUAAUUGAAGUGUUUGCUCCACCUGGGGAAGCUUAUUCACGAAUGAGUCAUGCACUGGAAGAGAUUAAAAAAUUCCUGGUUCCUGACUACAAUGAUGAAAUUCGUCAGGAACAGCUACGUGAAUUAUCUUACUUAAAUGGCUCAGAGGACUCUGGUCGUGGCAGAGGUAUUAGAGGCAGAGGGAUCAGAAUAGCCCCCACAACCCCUUCAAGGGGCCGUGGGGGCGCCAUUCCUCCUCCCCCCCCACCUGGACGGGGUGUCCUCACCCCUCGAGGGACUACUGUGACUCGUGGAGCUCUUCCAGUGCCUCCUGUAGCAAGAGGUGUCCCUACUCCACGAGCCCGCGGAGCACCGGCAGUGCCGGGAUACAGGGCACCCCCUCCUCCAGCCCACGAGGCUUAUGAAGAAUAUGGGUAUGAUGAUGGCUACGGGGGUGAAUAUGAUGACCAGACCUAUGAGACUUAUGAUAACAGCUAUGCCACCCAAACGCAAAGUGUGCCUGAAUACUAUGACUACGGUCAUGGAGUAAGUGAGGAUGCCUAUGACAGCUACGCACCAGAAGAAUGGGCCACAACCCGCUCCAGCCUGAAGGCACCACCGCCAAGGUCAGCCAGAGGGGGAUACAGGGAGCACCCCUAUGGUAGAUAUUGAAGGUCCUUCUCACCCGUGACCUCACCUCAAAGACAAUUCAUAGCCUGUGGUCUCCACAUAAACAGCAACAAGACAAGUAUCCACAAGCAAAGAGCACAUAAUUGAAUAGCAGAUGUGAUGGCCUAAGAAGGAUAGAGGUAAGCUUAUUUUUUAUCCUCUCCGAAAUAGGGAGAUAAUCUUUACCAACACGGAGCUAUGGCAGUGAGCUAGGACACAAAAUGCCACUUGUUGAAAUACUGAAAAGGUUGAGACUGUUGUGAAGGAAUGGAGUUAUUUUUAUCUUCUUUGAAAUAAAGAGAUCUAACUUGGUAUUUUCCUGGCAAGGCUUUCUGAGCUUAUUCAGAAGCUUGUCAAAUGAAACGUGAAUUAGUUGUUAAUCUUCAGCCUUUUUCUUUGCUACGAAUUACUGUAUAUUGCCUUUCCCUAAUUGUAUGAAGGAAGAGUAUUCAAACCUUUAAUCUGCAUUUAAAAGAAGGAAAUCACAAUUGUUGGCUGAGAUGGAGGGAGUGGGAAAGGGAACCCCAUAACCAGCCUCUCGCCUACCUUUUGUCAAUGAGAUAAUAUUUAUUAACAUGAACAUUUAUUUAGUCAAAUACAAAAACUAAACUUGCUCUUAUUUUCCCCAGUUAUUUCACUGGACUUGUCAAUAAACUUCUUGUUUCUCACCUGCCAUUCUAUUUGAUUCAGCAAAUAUUUACUGAAUCCAAAGCGUUAUAGGAAAUUGAGACUUAAUUUCUGUGCACAAGUAGAAAACUUUAGCCAAUAAACCUCAGACUGAAAACAAUGUAAGGGCAGUUAUGAAAUCCACAGACUGACUUGAGGCUCAGAGAAUUGAAAUGGCCUUGCCACAGCAUUUAAAAUAGGGGUAAAACCCCAAAUUUCUCCUUCUGGGCCUGGUCUUCUUUUUACUACACAAAUAUCUAUAAUACCAUGUAGCCUUAAACAAGUGCCAUAGGAGCAGUAUGAGAGAGCCUGGAGAUAUCUUUAUGACUAAAGGUAGGACAGAAACUAAGGGACCCUGAGAUGAGAGGGGUAGCCUGUCCAUUGAUGAGGAUCAAAGCACCACCUGGUGAAGGGAAUAGGCUGUGUAACUUCAUGGAGUCCAAAAAGUUCAGGAAGUGUUUGAAAGGAAAGCAAUGGACCCUGAGAUCCAGAUUCAUGAAGGCACAGAGGUAAGGUCAAAUCAGAUGGCUGUCCUUGAGUGCUAUGUUAAAUUGUUCAGAUUUUAUGCGAAAAAUAAAAGGAAGCCACUUUUGGUUUGAAGUAAAUAAUCAGAGCUAAGGGAAGUAUCCCAAAGAACCACGGCAAACCACACUUUUUAGUCAGUUUUAUAAUUACUAACUGCCUCUUCAUCUGGGAGAACUUUUCUAAAAAUUCAAACUGUUAAGAUAACUAUUUAAAACUGCAGGUGCUUCAACUAAUCAAGUCCCUUUGUUAAGCUGCAGAAUGAAAGAUCAAAAGUUACAGAGAAUACAAUUCUGAAAUUUCCUUUCUCAGUAACAUUCCAUACCUGAUUUGACUCUUUAAAAAUGUUACUGUUUUUAUAAACCAAGGGGAGAAAGAAUCUCUAAUCCAGAUAUCCUGCAUAGUAUUCUCCUUUGAUCCUUUUCAAACAAUAGGCUUGAUCUUGUAAAGCAAUGAAAGAGAAACCAGUCACUGUUAUUAGUUUGAUAUAUUCAUCAAUAUGUUUUUGUGUCCACUGGAAUUCUUUUAUUAUUGCUGUUGUUGUUUCAUCACCCUGUGGCUUUCUCACCAUUCAGGCUAUAUCUUUGAAUGCAUUAACUCAGGGCAGGGCUGUCAGAGCAGAAACAUCAGUGCUGAUCAACAGAAGAGAACAUUCUUGGCUGCUGAAUUAAAAAGUGAAGAUGUAUGAUAGAGAAAACAAAAGAAGGAAUAAAUCUGACACUGAAGUUCAAUGUUUUAAACAAUGGAGGCCAAAUAAGAAGAGGAUUUGGAUUUGAACAAAUGUGAUUCUGAAGUGACUAUGAAUAACAACCACUGAUUAAAAUAUAUGUGGAACAUAUUAAUAUGUUAAUUAUGCAGCUUAAGAAAGAAGAGGUUAAUCUGGGCUGGGAUUUUAAAACAUGGCUUCAUAGAAGAGGUGAGAUUUGGAUGAAAAGUCAGAUAUGGACAGAAGAACAUUUCAAGAGUGGAUCAUCACAUCCAUAGCCUACAUGUCGUCUUGAGUACAACAGUAAUUUCAGUCAGCCCCUGGGAUGCUGGACCCAUAUGCCAAUGAUCCAAAUAUGUGCAUCUCUUCAGUGACUUCACUUUGGUAGUCAAGUGGACUCUGGUUUUCUUCACCAUGACUUGCUUCACCACUUAACACCCAAGCCUAACACAGAGCCUGGCACAUAGUACAUACUCAGAAAUAUUUGUUGAAUAAAUAACAUGUGAAUGAAUGAAGCUAUGAGAGCAAAGAAUUCUUUCCAACUCUCAUCACAUCAGAUCUUACAUUGUACUGGCCAAAAAGUGAAAGGAGGAAAGAAAUGGAAGCAUAGAAAAGGAGUCAAUGUUCUUCUCUCUACUGUAAAAUUUCACAGACUUGCAAUAAUGUCUCCUCCAAGAAAGAGCCUCCCAGACUUCUCAGUUUGUUUUUAUCUGGAAAGAAGAAAGAGGAAGACAAGAAAGUCUUUACUGCUCACUGUUGGUGCUUCCCACUAAUAAAAACAAAUAUUUCAGCAAAAAGUGAACAGUUUCCAAAUAGCGUAACAAAAACAAAUUGGACAUUCCUACAUUUACCACGGCAGCCUUCUGUUUCCUCUCUGUGAGCACAGUCCUGAUAUCUUAAGGAUAUAUCGAUACUAUGUGCACCCCAUUCCCCUACCUAAAUUUCUGAUCACUAAAAAGAAAGAGCAGGACAUAAUUACAGGAGUAAGCAACAGGGUAUGGUUUUUGACAACAAGGACAGUGAGGCCGACUGCCUGAUUUCAAGUCCUGGGUCCACUAUUUCCUAACAGUGAGAUCACAGGCAAGCCAGACACUGGCUCCUUCAGGACAAAACCCUGUCUCUUCCCCCAUCAAGCCAAGCUGCAUUGGAAUGACCACCCUCUUCUCUGCUCCUGUGGUUUUUCUAUGUUUCUGCUAUACCACAUAUUCUUGGUUAGUAUUUGUCUCCACAUGAGGCUGUCCUGAGGCAGAAUGUGUGUUCAUCUCUAAAUUCCAAGGAUCUACCACACCACCUGACAGUGCAAAAUACAGACUUUCUGACUGAACAGAUGAAUGAAUUGCACAAUCUGACUGUAUUAGAAUGGGUAUAGGAAAGGGUCGUGCUGCUAAUGUGGUGGCAGAGGGCUUCAAGUGUUUGGGGAACACUAGGACAUCUUUUGCUUCCAUGAUGAUGGUAUGACUGGCCACUUCUCUUUCUCAUUACAAAGUCAGAUUCCACUCUUACCCUAACAUAAAGAUAUUGGGACACUGGGCUCCCCAGUGCUGUACCAUAGGGACUAUGUAGAGAUAACAGAAUAACAUGAAAAUAUCGUAAGUAAUUAGAAAGGCAGCUAAUUUCACAAAGACUCAAGCUGGCAUAAUACAGAAGGCCUUUUUAAAGUAUACCUUACAAUGUCAUUAUAUUAAUUCGGUUUUGCUUCUUUGUAUGAAAUUUAAAAUAAAGAAAAAGUGGCAUGUUAGGUCAAUUUGUAUAAGAUCUGAAUAUGAGUUACCUCUGAGAUAAUUCUCUUAAUUGGAACCCCUUUUUUGUGAUUUCACUGCCAUAGCUUUUGAUUCUCAUUUAGAGGGGCAAGGCUGGUCUCAGAAUGCAAUGGCGGCAUUAGAUCAUUGCUUCAGUAUAUUUUUUACUAAGAUACAUGUACAUCAUUCACAAUUUGGCCUGUGAAAACAAAAACUAAUACUAGAGAAGUCUGUGACACACAUCACAGCCUUUAAUGAUGUAGAAUAAGCACUCAUAAAUACUUCAUAGCAAAUAAUAAAUAAAUGAAAUGCAUAAAAGAUGAUGGAGGCUAAUUGAGUGAAUGCAUUUAUCUUCACAAAAGGUCUCUAGACACAUGGUGGUACAAUAUCCUCUACUUCCUGAACUAUGAAACAGAAUCAGUUGUAAGAUAUAGUUAAUGAAAGCUUUUCAGUAAAAAAAAUAAGUAAUCAGCAACUUUUUGGAUAUUGAUUAUGAGAAGCACCCUGAUUUCAAAAUUUAAAAAGUGUGUCUUAUAAAUGAUUUUUAAAAGCUCUAUGUGUCACAACUAAAAACGGAACUGAAUUAAUUUCUAUGUCAGGGAGAAAUGGUUAGCAAAUGUUUUAGACUUCAGUAUUUAACUUAUGUAAUUAUGAUUAUAUAUAACUGUAGAUAAUUACAUGUUAACUUAUAUAAACAUUAUGUUUUAUUGACUUAUUGAUAUCUGUUGGUGAAAAUACUGACUGAGGUUGGUACCUCCUUUGAGAUAUGAAAUAAGUAAAACUUAGACCUAAGUAUGAAAAUCCCACACACUAAUUUAUUAUUGUUGCUACCAGUAAACAUAUUUUCAUGAUGUUUUAGCAUCUAUAGGAUGCUUUCACAAUCAUUUCUCGGUAAUCUGAUUUUAUCCUUAGAUCUAUGCUAUUAGAGGUUAUGAAGAUUAGAGGUUGUACAUUUGAAUACAUACCAUAUAUAUAUACUCGUUUUCUACGAGCUUUUUCCUGAUAAAAGUUAGAUACAAAAGAGUCCAAAUACCUAAUAAAUCUUUCUGAUUGCA
This is an RNA transcript of Herpailurus yagouaroundi (jaguarundi), 5968 nucleotides long. It is a transcript of the gene named KH RNA binding domain containing, signal transduction associated 2, with no coding region annotated. The record is from RefSeq and is a predicted model, not a curated record. Lineage: Eukaryota; Metazoa; Chordata; Mammalia; Carnivora; Felidae. The transcript has 16 exons.